CUAGAUUAUUUACUCUUGAAAACCAUCUACAUAUAAGUGCACCUGUGCAGUUUACACUUGUGUUGUUCAAGAGUCAGCUGUACUGUUGGUG
RNAcentral lists this microRNA precursor (91 nucleotides) under Tursiops truncatus (common bottlenose dolphin). Its description in RNAcentral is "miRNA (ENSTTRG00000024218.1)". The record is from RNAcentral. Lineage: Eukaryota; Metazoa; Chordata; Mammalia; Artiodactyla; Delphinidae.